Molecule: unclassified non-coding RNA, 351 nt
Filed under: Hevea brasiliensis (rubber tree)
Lineage: Eukaryota; Viridiplantae; Streptophyta; Magnoliopsida; Malpighiales; Euphorbiaceae
Source: RNAcentral
UUUAAGUUCAACACAAAGGGAUUAUGCUCAAACUGCUCAAGCUUGUGGAAAGGCACUGAUAGCAUUGAUAAACGAGGUGCUUGACCGGGCAAAAAUUGAAGCUGGCAAGUUGGAGCUUGAAGCUGUCCCGUUUGACCUUCGGUCCAUACUAGAUGAUGUUCUUUCUUUAUUUUCUGAGAAGUCUAGAAACAAAGGAAUUGAGCUGGCUGUGUUUGUUUCUGACAAAGUUCCAGAUAUUGUUCUGGGGGAUCCUGGGAGAUUCAGACAGAUAAUUACCAAUCUUGUGGGGAACUCUGUUAAGUUCACUGAACGAGGGCAUAUAUUUGUUAAAGUUCAUUUAGAUGAACAUGC